GAGUUUAAGAAGGAAAGAGGUGAAAGUGAAUUUCGAAAGUAGUAGCUAAUGGUGUUGAAACAAUUUAUGUGGUGUGGUCAGGAGUAGUGUAUUAAAAAAAGAAAGAUUAUAUUAUGUGUUGAUUAAGAAUACCCCCUCAUUACUAUUUGUUAACUAGCUUAAAGAGAUGGUAAAAAAAAAUAAAGUGUGAAGGUAGAGGUGGUGAAAGUUUGAUUUUUUAGAAAGGAUCCAAAAGUAGA
RNAcentral lists this long non-coding RNA (239 nucleotides) under Capsicum annuum. Its description in RNAcentral is "long non-coding RNA (CANN_LNC008388)". Lineage: Eukaryota; Viridiplantae; Streptophyta; Magnoliopsida; Solanales; Solanaceae. The record is from RNAcentral.